CAGUAGCCGCGGGAAAACGGAGGGGGCUAGCGUUGUUCGGAAUUACUGGGCGUAAAGCGCACGUAGGCGGCUUGGUAAGUUAGAGGUGAAAGCCCAGGGCUCAGCCCUGGAAUUGCCUUUAAGACUGCCGAGCUAGUAGGUGAGAGAGGUGAGUGGAAUUCCGAGUGUAGAGGUGAAAUUCGUAGAUAUUCGGAAGAACACCAGUGGCGAAGGCGGCUCACUGGCUCAUUCUAGACGCUGAGGUGCGAAAGCGUGGGGAGCAAACAGGAUUAGAUACCCGCGUAGUCCCUGUCUCUUAUAC
RNAcentral lists this ribosomal RNA (301 nucleotides) under uncultured bacterium. RNAcentral describes it as "partial 16S ribosomal RNA". It matches the Rfam family "Bacterial small subunit ribosomal RNA", at positions 509 to 807 of the family's 1533-position model. The record is from RNAcentral.